AUGAGGUCACAUCAUGAUGCUCUGUAGUGGCCACUUUAACUGUGGAAUGCUUGCGUGUCCUCAGAUGAUUUUUUUUUCUUUUUUUUUUAUCUUUCUGUUGUUGAUAUCGUCACAUUUGUCAGCAGGUCCGGUGUUGAGAGUCAGAUGACCUCCUGUGUGGAUGAAGAUGUACCUGGCCUCCGUGGGAGGGGCGCAGGGACAAGAGGAGUGUGCGACCCCUGCGACUGUUCUAUUCAUGGGGUUACAGGUCAGAUUGGAUCCAGCUCUCUGUGGACAGAUUAAAGCCCGUCACCAAGAGGCCUUCGCAGAGGCGGAACAAGUGAGCGCCCCUGCUGCUGAUUGGCUGUCUGGCUAUUUAAACCCAGUUGUUUGUAGCGUGGGGAGAGUCUGUCUUCUAUGCUCUGAGGACACUCUCUCUUGGACUUUUUGUACUUUUUGGACAUUUAAUAGUAGUUGGUGCCUUUUUUCACUUUUUUCAAGUUGUUGUGCACCAUCACCUUUUGUUUCUGCUCUCUCCUUGUUGUACUUUGUGUGAGUCUUUUUUUUUGUGUGUCCCGUCCAGCCAUUAGGGCACAUCGUAUUGUUGAUCUUAUACAGAAUUUAUUUGACUUU
Dunckerocampus dactyliophorus (ringed pipefish) is the source of this 612-nucleotide long non-coding RNA. RefSeq lists it as uncharacterized. The record is from RefSeq and is a predicted model, not a curated record. NCBI's taxonomy places the organism in Eukaryota, Metazoa, Chordata, Actinopteri, Syngnathiformes, Syngnathidae. The transcript is spliced from 3 exons.